This 453-nucleotide ribosomal RNA is filed under the name uncultured bacterium. Its description in RNAcentral is "partial 16S ribosomal RNA". It matches the Rfam family "Bacterial small subunit ribosomal RNA", at positions 341 to 792 of the family's 1533-position model. The record is from RNAcentral.
ACGGGAGGCAGCAGUGAGGAAUAUUGGUCAAUGGGCGGAAGCCUGAACCAGCCAAGUCGCGUGAAGGAUGAAGGUAUUAUGUAUUGUAAACUUCUUUAGCAGCAGAGUAAUAAGGGGGUCGUGACCCCCGAUGCAAGUAUGCUGAAAAUAAGGAUCGGCUAACUCCGUGCCAGCAGCCGCGGUAAUACGGAGGAUCCGAGCGUUAUCCGGAUUUAUUGGGUUUAAAGGGUGCGCAGGCGGUUUUUUAAGUCAGUGGUUAAAUCGUGAGGCUCAACCUCAUCACGCCAUUGAUACUGGAAGACUUGAUUGCGGUUGAGGUUGGCGGAAUUCGUCGUGUAGCGGUGAAAUGCAUAGAUAUGACGAAGAACACCGAUUGCGUAGGCAGCUGACCAGGCCGUAAAUGACGCUCAUGCACGAAAGUGCGGGGAUCGAACAGGAUUAGAUACCCUGGUA